UACUGUUAAAAUGACUAGAAUUUAGGCAAGUCGCGCAGUCCUUGGUAACUUUGUAAAGGAAAACGCGUAAAUUUUUUGCAAUAAUUUUACAAACUUUUACAAAAUAAAGACACCCUUGAUCUGAGUAAGUUUACAAAAAUUUAUGGGCUAGUUUUCCUUAGAAAUAUUUGUAAAAUUGUGUAAAAGUUUGUAAGAUUAUGGAUUUUACAAUGUUACAAGAACUGCUUUAGAGGAAAAUUAAAAUUGUUAGUUUCAUUCACACAGUAUAUGUAUCCGACAAAUCUGAAUUAUUUUUCAUGACAUGUAAGAAUUUUACGAAUAUAUAUUUAGGCGUCGUAAUUUGCAAAUUAUUUCGUGACGUUGUUCUCUUCUGAGGCAGUUGCAUCUACAAAAUAAAUACUUUUUACAUUUUGUCAUGAUAAUUUUUUUAAUUUUAUAAAUUUACCAAUCAAUAUUAUUCAAUUUAUGCAGGAUGUCAUGUCAACGUUGUAACCUACGUGACUUUGUUAGGUUUAUAAGCUUACAAACUCUUGACGUGAAUUGACUUUGUAAACAUUUUCGUAACAUUUUUUGCUAAAAAAAUGUCUCGUAAGCGGAACCUAUAGAUAGCUACCCUCAUUUCAACACAAAAUGCAAAUCUCAAACACCCGAAUUAUUUACGAACGUUUGUUUACGAACCAAAAACAUGCUUUUGUAGUUCGAAAGUUUCAUAAAAGUCGGUAAAUAAAAUUUCCUCAGAAAUGUGUGGAAAAGUUUGUAAACGUUACGAAGGUUACAAACUUUGACAUAAGUUCCCUAUAUUUCACUUUGUAAGUAACUCAAUAAAAUUAAACUUACACCUUAAAAAACACAUACAACAAGGUACGUUUUAAAUACAGAUUAAAUAUAAUAAAGUUACAAAAAUUUAAACUCAAUUUUAGCACAAAAUUAGAAAAUUUUUGCACACAAAAUAAAAAUUCGCAAUUGAAAAAAAAUCGUAUUCUAAACCACACCCACAACAAAUAAGCAGUUUUAAAUAUGUACACAUUUAAUAUAAUAAACUGUAAAAUUUUAGCAAAGUUCAUAGUGAAGGUUUUCACGACCUUUUUAACUGUGGAUUUGCAAAUAUUCGACGAUUCGUGAAGGGUUGAGGUGAAACACCUUCGUAAACAAAAUUUUCGGACUUUUAAAAAAAUAUCUAACAAAAAGGCGCAUCACAAACUUUCAUAUAUUUAUUUAUCGUUGGCAGGUGCGAAAUUUUCUUAAAUGUCGUAAAUUUACGCUACAAAUCUGUAUUUACAAAGUUUACCGCAGUACGAGUUGACGUAAAUGAAAACCCUCCUCGAUAAGGUUUGAAACUUGUAUGUCCGUGAACAUGCCGAGUUGGGGCUUAAAAAUAGUAAGAUUGCAACGGAUCUUGGAUUUCACAUCCGCGUACGAGCCAAUUUCCUGAAUUGGCUCGUUUUCCUCGCGAAAACGGACUUUCUCCUUCUCUCACACAAACCGGGGGCUUGGCAAGAAGGAUGCGAUUUAAAAUUGUGACUCAUUUUGAUGACAAUGGGUGAAGGAUGACGAGGAGACAAAGAGAAAGCAUAAUGGCCAAAGUUUGAUGGGGGUCGUAUAAAAUGCUUUUGUAUGUAAAGUGCGUAAUGCAACUCGGUCAAUGCAAUGGAAUAGUUCGCCAAAAGUGAGAAGAUCGUAUCCCGAGUGACUUGAUUUUGUGUCCUGGAUGUAAGCAAAAUUUGGUAAAAACUGAGAUUUCAAAACAGUACCUUAAACUGAAAUGUGUAUAAAAACCUAAAAUUUUAAAGUAUCUAUAUCAGGAAUUAUACAGCUUGAAAUGUUCAUGCGGCAUCACACCUUUGAAAAAUAAUAAUCUGAUCCAAUUAUAAAUUGUAAACUUGGCGUCGAAGAUAUUCAUUUUGGAGAAAUUGUGAUCAGUUUUUUUUACUCGUGUAUAAAAAUGUAUACGAAGUCCUAUUUCGUACUUUUUGAAAUUUGUUACAAAACAAAAACCGAAAUUUUAAAUUAUGCCGAGCAUUUACGUUGGAAGUAUCUUCGUCAAGAAAUAUCAAUUUCUACAGCAUGUUAAAAUCACACGAUUGACGUGGAACUCAUACAUUUUAGAGAAAUUAUAAACCGUUUUCAUAAUUUCAUGUAGAAAAACAAAAUCUUAUUUUCCAAAAUUUGUCAUAGUUUCAAAAUUAUAAUUUCAUGUAGAAAAACAAAAUCUUAUUUUCCAAAAUUUGUCAUAGUUUCAAAAUUAAAUUAUCUUUAAGCUGUGAUAGUAACGUAUUCUCGUCAAUUUUGCCACGCUUUCUUGCAGUACAGAUAAUCUUGCCAAUAAAUUCCUGCAUGCUUUAUUCGCAAAUAUAUUUGCGAGGUUUGUGAAAUGUAUCCAGUUUAAUUUCAUUAAUCGAAGCCUCUCCAAAUAAUUUUUACAAUUUCUUCAUAUUUCUCUAAACUAUAACUCGUGCAUUUCCUUAUCUUAAUGAUUUAUUAUAAGAGACGAUUAAUUUUCCGAAAAAAUUGAAUUCAACCUUGAAAUUUUCUUCAAUAAAAUCUUUACGAAUCUUGACGAAAAAAAAGACGCCCUUGAUCUGAGUAACUUCACAAGAAUUUAUGAGCUAAUCUUACUUCCAGAUAUUUGUAUAAUUUUAUACGUCUACGGAUUUUAUAAAGUUACAAAGGCCUGUGUGAAUUGUUCUAUGUGAGAAUCAAUAAAUUCAAUCAAUAUUCCGGCAUGUUCGAUUCGAGAAUAAAUUUGCGAGGUUCUUAAAAUGUGUGUACCAGUUAAAUUUCCUUGUUAGAAAAAUCGUCCAAAAAUUGUGUUUUAAAAUCACGUCCUAUUUCUCUGCUCUAAGCAAUAGAGGCUUGUGGAAUUAAAUUAGUUACACUUGUUCACUAAUUUUCCCAAUUCGCCGUUGAACUUUUUUAAUUUUGUCGAAUACUAAAACUAUUAGUAUUAUUACAUGUAUUUAGAUAAUCACGGAUAAUUACUAAAAAUGCGAUAGGGUUGAAGUGCAACACUAUAAAUAGUGACAUUUCCCAUAAUAUCAUUCUCGUCUUUCUUUAUGUUGGAAGAAAUUUAAAAAUGUUUAGUUUUUGCUGUUAUUUGCGAUGUUUGUGGAAUGAAGUGGAAUAUAAUUUUUUUCUGUUUUUUGCUCCUUAUUUUGAGUCAUUAUUAAAUCAAUAAUGGAUUUUGUUAAUUUAUAAAUAUCAAAUCGAGAAUUAAUCGAUGCAAUGUUUUUAACGGCGAAAAAAUUGUCACAUUAACGUUCUUCAGUUUUGGAAAUAAAUAAAAAUUCUGAGCUACGUGGUCUCAGUA
Molecule: long non-coding RNA, 3307 nt
Organism: Folsomia candida
Lineage: Eukaryota; Metazoa; Arthropoda; Collembola; Entomobryomorpha; Isotomidae
Exons: 3
Source: RefSeq, a predicted model, not a curated record